GGACCAAGGAGUCUAGCAUGUGCGCGAGUCAUUGGGAUAAAAUUCCUAAAGGCGUAAUGAAAGUAAAUGUUUACCUUGUGUAAACAGAGGGAAGAUGGGUGGCGCUUUGACGCUGCCCCGCACUCCCGGGGCGUCGCGCACUCAUUGCGAGGUGCGGCGCACCUAGAGCGUACACGCUGGGACCC
This 185-nucleotide ribosomal RNA is filed under the name Bembidion articulatum. RNAcentral describes it as "partial 28S ribosomal RNA". It matches the Rfam family "Eukaryotic large subunit ribosomal RNA", at positions 663 to 817 of the family's 3401-position model. Lineage: Eukaryota; Metazoa; Arthropoda; Insecta; Coleoptera; Carabidae. The record is from RNAcentral.